UCCGCGAUCGUAUGGUGGUUAGUACCUUGCGUUGUGGCCGCAAUAACCCAGGUUUGACCCCUAGUCACGGCA
RNAcentral lists this transfer RNA (72 nucleotides) under Ixodes scapularis (black-legged tick). Its description in RNAcentral is "tRNA-His". It matches the Rfam family "tRNA". From Rfam's summary of the family: Transfer RNA (tRNA) molecules are approximately 80 nucleotides in length. Lineage: Eukaryota; Metazoa; Arthropoda; Arachnida; Ixodida; Ixodidae. The record is from RNAcentral.